RNAcentral lists this long non-coding RNA (2603 nucleotides) under Canis lupus familiaris (dog). RNAcentral's name for it is "lncRNA (ENSCAFG00000057292.1, ENSCAFG00805028199.1)". The stretch from base 28 to 96 matches the Rfam family "SOX2 overlapping transcript exon 2". Lineage: Eukaryota; Metazoa; Chordata; Mammalia; Carnivora; Canidae. The record is from RNAcentral.
UUUUUUUUUUUUUUUUUUUGGAGAAAGAAAGCCUGACAGGUUUCUCCGGAAAAGUGGCCAUCCAUGGAAUGAAUGAAAUGUUCCCUUUCUAUUCCAGCACACAUCGUGGGUGUCUUGUCUCCCUGUUUCCCUGAAAUAAUUUGAUUUGAAAAAGAAGAUGUUUGGAGACGACAGUAGGGUAAAAGAACGUUUCCUCCAACAGAAAUUCUCCUUCCUUCUCUGCCUACAAGUCCUCAAGGUAGGACAAUUGCCACCUCUUCGAUGAAAGCCUUUUCUGGUCUGCAAGAGCCCCCAGCUACUUGCCCCCCUCCUCUGCCCUACCUCUACAGCUUACCUCUUCCCCUCUUUUGCGACUUGUAUCAUGAUCUUUUAUUAUAGUUGCCUACAUCUACCGAUACCUGUCCUUCCUCUAGAAUAGGAGCUUUGAAAGAGGGGUUGUGUCUUAUUUAUCUUUAUAUCCCACUCUCCCUCUCUUCUUGCUCCAUUCCUAACCCAGAGCCUGGCAAAAAGUAGGGAUUCAGAAAAUGUUCGUUGGAUGAAGGAAGGGAAGAAGGAAAGAAGGAAAAAAAAAAAAAAGGAAGUUUAUUUCUGGAGAAAAAAGCAUGUGUCUUCUUUCCUCAAAGUAUUUUAUUUUUCUAAAAUCAGGGGCAGCCUGGUUUCUUUACCUAGGUGUUAGGGCAUGUGCCCUUGAACACCUUACUCUGGCAAAGAGCCCAAAUUCCAUCUCCAACCAGCUGAGUCACUUUCAGUUCCUUUGUGGUUCAUUCAUGCUUUUCCCCUUCAUUGACACAUUAACAUUUCAUGGUGAGUGGGUCCUGUUCAGCUGGCAGCCCCUCUUAGCCCCCACACCUCUAAGCUGUCCUCACUUCACUAGUUCCCAAUUGCCUGCCUCUCGGGGGGGCUCUGUCGCUGUCAGCAUAUAGCUAGAGGAGCUGUUGUUGGUCUGCUGUUGCCAUACCUGUUUUCAUAAUUAACAAUGUGUGGCAAACUCAGAACGAGAGCCCUCUGCUAGAGGCGGUCUUCUCUUAUGUGUUCUUUUCCAAAGCCCCAGGUUGUUUUAAGAAAAUGAGAGAAAAACCAAGAAUGAAAGAACUGGGCAGAUCGACUAUCUUCUUUGUUUGGUAUCUUCGUUUAGUAUCAAAAUCUCUCAUUUUUUAUUUCCCUCAAAUACCUGGACAUUUCUUACCUCCAUGCCCUCUGCAACCGUGACUCCCAGUGAGUUUCUACUUGGAUCUUGUUUUGUAGGUCAGCAAUUUGUACCUUAACCUCAAAAACAGCAAAAACCCGUGAGCAAAUUAUAAUUUAAAAAUCUAACAUCUCUAAAGCAUGGCAUGCAAGAGUUUCUGUUUAUUGACUUUGAAAAGGAAAUUGAACACACACACAUACACGGGCACACGUGUGUGCGAUUUGUUACAAGCUUAGCAUUUCAAGAUUUACUUUUGGACCUUAGGCCCUUAGUAGGUACUCAAUAACUCCCUGCUGGCACAGUGAUUAGUUUUAGUAGCUCCCUGUUAUUUCCAAAGACAUAGCAUUUUCCAGACUUUUCUGAUCAACAAAUGAAAUGUAGCUUUUCUUAAAGCUGUGGAAAUAGAAUAAUUCAUAUUGCGAGGUUAUUUAUUACCAGCCAGACCCUCAUCUUGCUCUACGGGGCUCUGAUAAUCACCUAUUUCAGAAGCCAUUAGCCUUCUAUGUGUCGCAAAGCACUCUUCACCAUAACGUGUCUGUGCCUUUGUAUUCUAGGGGAAGGAAUGGUGUGUACUGAAGUAACAGACCUCUGUUGACCAAGUAAGAAAGUCUUUGAUGCACAAAUAGUACAUUUAACUGCUUUUAUUUGAUAGUGUUGAAAUUAAAUAGUGUGUGGAAUCCCUGCCCAGGUAUGGAAACAUAUAAAACCUUUGAGAAUAUGUACAUUAAUUCAGGUGCCGAAAAUUAUAGAAACAGACGUAUAAGAAAAAUAUGCACUGAAAGAACGUAACAGUCAAGGCUUAGGCACUCACAGGAGAACAGCAGGAGCUGACUUUAACUUAUUGAUUUUAGAACCAUCAUUUAAAAAAAAAAAAGCGCGAAAUAUUGCCUUUCCUGUUUUCAGAUAAUAAUGACUGUUGUUGCAAAUUAUAAAAUUUAAUUAGCUAUAUAAAUGCCAGAGGAACAAAUAGUGUGCUAUUGUCUUGAUAUCUUUCCAGAAAUUAGUCUUUUAAAAUAAAUUUGCCAUAUUAAUCAUCUAAAAAUAUUUUUGAUCACUGAAUUAAUAGUUUGCAGCCUGUUUUCAGGUACACUCAUUGCCAUAGGUGAUUGCUUCUUAAUUACUACACGGGCUCUUUCUAUUCACUCAUAUUAAUUCAUGUUUGCUGGCACAGUCCCAAAAGGCAGCCUUGCCCUAUAUCUUCUAAUUACUUCUAUAAUUGAAUUUGCCCACUUUUUCUAACCUAUUUUUUAAACUGACUGUGUUUGUUCAUGGUUUAUUGUGUCUUUUUUGUGUCAGUUCUCUGCAAGCAGAAUGUACAUUGAUUCUUUCCUCGUUUCUCAUUAAUUUUCAAGAGCUUUGCUGCAUGUCUGUUUUCUUAUACUGUCAGACCUAUUGCUAGCCCAAAAAAAAAAAAAAA